RNAcentral lists this ribosomal RNA (722 nucleotides) under uncultured bacterium. RNAcentral's name for it is "bacterial SSU rRNA". It matches the Rfam family "Bacterial small subunit ribosomal RNA", at positions 28 to 761 of the family's 1533-position model. The record is from RNAcentral.
GAUGAACGCUAGCGGCAGGCAUACAUGCAAGUCGAGGGGGUCAGCAAUGAUCACCGGCGCACGGGUGCGUAACGCGUAUGGAACCUACCCUUUUCUCUGGGAUAGCCUUUCGAAAGAGAGAUUAAUACCGGAUGGUCUUGUGAUACGGCAUCGUAUAUCAAGUAAAGAUUUAUUGGAAAAGGAUGGGCAUGCGUCCGAUUAGCUAGUUGGCGGGGUAAAGGCCCACCAAGGCUACGAUCGGUAGGGGUUCUGAGAGGAUGGUCCCCCACACUGGCACUGAGAUACGGGCCAGACUCCUACGGGAGGCAGCAGUAGGGAAUAUUGGGCAAUGGGCGAGAGCCUGACCCAGCCAUGCCGCGUGCAGGAAGAAGGUCCUCUGGAUUGUAAACUGCUUUAGAUAGGGAAGAAUAAGUUGGGUGCGCCCAACGAUGACGGUACCUAUAGAAUAAGCACCGGCUAACUACGUGCCAGCAGCCGCGGUAAUACGUAGGGUGCGAGCGUUGUCCGGAUUUAUUGGGUUUAAAGGGUGCGUAGGCGGGGCGUUAAGUCAGUCUUUAAAGCCAGCCGCUUAACGGUUUGGACUGGGAUUGAUACUGGCGCUCUUGAGAGGGCUCGGGGCCGGCGGAAUUUGUGGUGUAGCGGUGAAAUGCAUAGAUACCACAAGGAACACCGAUCGCGUAGGCAGCCGGCCAGGGCCUUUCUGACGCUGAGGCACGAAAGUG